RNAcentral lists this long non-coding RNA (948 nucleotides) under Equus caballus (horse). RNAcentral's name for it is "lncRNA (ENSECAG00000050136.1)". The record is from RNAcentral. Lineage: Eukaryota; Metazoa; Chordata; Mammalia; Perissodactyla; Equidae.
AGCCAUGCUGUGGAAGCCAUCCCACAUAUGAGGUAGAGGAAGAUGGGCACAGAUGUUAGCUCAGGGCCAGUCUUCCUCAGCAAAAACAGGGGGAUUGGCAGGAGUUAGCUCAGGGCUAAUCUUCCUCAAAAAAAAAAAAAAAGUAGGAGGGAGUAAGGAGAAAUAAACACUCAAACUUCUCUCUCUUCUCAUCCCCUGUUCUCCUGCUACUUUCUUCCAACGGCUUAACCCAACAAAAAUUCAGAGGACAUGGAAGCCUGCGUGAUGAAUUCUAUUUUGGUCAGCUUCUACGGUCACUGGGGAGGAGAGAGAAAGAUGGAUGCAGCAGUUAUGGGCAUCAUCUCCUCUCAAGACCUCAUAAAAGUCAGAAAUUGGGUGAAAACUGGGCUGACAGAUGUGCAGGACGGGUUCAAGGACACACAAGUUGGGGGCACGAUUGGAUCCUAGCUUGCACCCUGAUGCCACUUGUCCUCUUCUGCCAUCUCCUCUGGAAGCUGUGCCCAGGCUUCAGGAAAGAGACUUGGAGGCAGAAUAUCAAUUUCCUAGUCAGGGAGUUUUUGAUUUGGCCGUGAAAUAGAGGCUUGUGCUCCCUCAAUAUCAUUUCUUGACUUUUUUUCUUGUAAUUUUAGGAGUUUUUUUCCCCAAGUCAUCUCCAGACCUGUAAUCUCCCCAACUGCUUGUCCACAAUCACUCCAGCUCUCCACAGGAGGGAAUCAUCUGUGGAGUGGCUGCCAAAAAUCAAGAAUAUUUUUCAUAACAUGCCUCUGUCAGGACAGAGCUCCAGACCCCACGCUCCCCACUCUCCGCCCUCUGCUUUGGAUUCUUACAGCAUCUUUCUCUCUAUACUCGGGUGUCACUCAGUGUUGGAUUUGUGUGCUGUUAGCUUCUUCCUCUCCCCUCCGCCUUCUUCUUUCCUUACUCCCUCCCUCUCCCCGAUAAGCAGACAUU